UGGAGGAAUGUAUAGCGAAAGCUACUUGCAUUUAGCUUAGUUAAUAAAUGCAGGAUUGACUAUGUCGAAUAAAGUUCUAGGUGGGUUAUGAUGAUGACAUUUCCUAUCUAUGUGUCUUGACCAAACUACGUGCCAGCAGUCGCGGUAACACGUAAUAGACUAGUGUUAUUCAUCUUUAAUAGGUUUAAAGGGUACCUAGACGGUAAAUCAAGUCCAAGAAGGGUACUAAUUUGCUAGAGUUUAAUGUGAGGGGGCACUAAAGUACUGAUAAGUGUAGAGAUGAAAUUCUGUGAUACAAUAUACGGCACUGGCAAAGGCGAAAGCAUCUCAUUAUGUAAUAACUGACGUUGAGGGACGAAGGCUAGGUGUAGCAAAAAGGAUUAGAUACCCAAGUAGUCUUAGCAGAAAAUUAUGAAUGUCAUAGGAUGGAGAUACAACAAAUUUUUUUUCUAUAAAUGAAAGUGUAAGCAUUCCACCUCGAGAGUAAUUUGGCAACAUUGGAACUGAAAUCAUUAGACCGUUUCUGAAACAAGUAGUGAAGUAUGUUGUUUAAUUUGAUGGUCCGCAAAAAACCUUACCACAAUUUGAAUAGAAAUUUUUUUUUCGUACAAGCGCUGCACGGUUGUCUUCAGUUAAUGUCGUGAGAUCUUGGUUAGUUCCAUUAAAUUAACGUAAACCCUUACUUUAUUUUGAUAUAGAGUAGUUCACCGCUAGAUUGGAUGUGAUAACAGGGACUAAGACAAGUCAUCAUGGCCUUAAUAUUGU
Molecule: ribosomal RNA, 765 nt
Filed under: Anaptychia ciliaris
Lineage: Eukaryota; Fungi; Ascomycota; Lecanoromycetes; Caliciales; Physciaceae
Description: mitochondrial SSU rRNA
Rfam family: Bacterial small subunit ribosomal RNA
Source: RNAcentral